Molecule: unclassified non-coding RNA, 329 nt
Filed under: soil metagenome
Description: partial contains 5.8S ribosomal RNA, internal transcribed spacer 2, and large subunit ribosomal RNA
Rfam family: 5.8S ribosomal RNA (bases 1-120)
Source: RNAcentral
GAUGAAGAACGCAGCGAAAUGCGAUAAGUAAUGUGAAUUGCAGAAUUCAGUGAAUCAUCGAAUCUUUGAACGCACAUUGCGCCCCGUGGUAUUCCGAGGGGCAUGCCUGUUCGAGCGUCAUUAUAACCCCUCAAGCUCAGCUUGGUGUUGGGGCCUGCUGCACUGGCAGCCCUUAAAAUCAGUGGCGGCGCCAUCUGGCUCUAAGCGUAGUAAUUCUUCUCGCUAUGGAGUCCUGGUGGAUGCUUGCCAUCAACCCCCAAUUUUUCUAUGGUUGACCUCGGAUCAGGUAGGGAUACCCGCUGAACUUAAGCAUAUCAAUAAGCGGAGGA